This is a long non-coding RNA of Pseudophryne corroboree (corroboree frog), 1057 nucleotides long. RefSeq lists it as uncharacterized. NCBI's taxonomy places the organism in Eukaryota, Metazoa, Chordata, Amphibia, Anura, Myobatrachidae. The record is from RefSeq and is a predicted model, not a curated record. The transcript has 4 exons.
AGCCACUACACUACUGUGCCUGCCCUGCACUAGAGCUGACUCAGCAUUUGUGUUCAUGGGAGGGGCGGGGAGUCCAGGGCAAGCGCCGUGACUGGAGCUGGAGAUCACUGGGGAUGGUGGAGCAGUGGCAGAUCUUUCUUGGGGAAGGCGAGGUCCUGCACCCCCUAGGCAGAUGCUCCUGGAGUAUGCUGGAAUGUGACAGGAGGGGCUAUGCUUCCCCUUCCUACCCGUCACUGCUAAACUCACCCAGUUUACCUGUCUAACAUCUACUACACGCACCCCGUUUACCACUAUAAAAUUCACUACACACACUGCUCCCUGAAAAUUGAAUGUCACCUCAUUCAGCAGCCGUAUACUACUUAGACAUCUGUCUUAGAGAAGAGGAAUAUGUGACCCUGCAGUGUCAUGGAGAAACACGCUAGAUCUUUCAGGAUUUGGGUGGGACGAUUGUGGUCUGAGUGUUCCUACCUCAAUUCUAAGAUACUGGACCUCAUCCAAACAGAGCCACAGGAGGGCGAUGACAAGAUGUUUUGUUGGCAUAGAUGCUUGCCUCUAAUGAUCAGCUGCAGAAGGCUCUGCUGGCAAAUACUACUCCCAAAUACAGAGAAGUGUCCUGAAUUAGGACCGAGACUGAUCCAUAAAUGUCCCAAGGGAAACUGUCUUUGGUCCACUGUCGUCACCGGUUCUAUUUCAGUGGGCACUGGAGAGCAGACACCGGGUUAUGAGAUGCCAGGAAUUCCUCACCCACACGCUCCCCCUUCCUCAAACGUGAGCAUUUGUGCUUGUUACAUAGCGUACUCAUGUGGCAUUGCUAUAAUAGUCUUAUUAACCAUGUCAGCUCUCUAGGUGUAUGGGAAAACAGCCACCACAGAUACAAUUUCAAGCAGCUAUGUAUUGGAUCUCAUCACACAUGGAUCUUAUUUAAUCUGCUCUGAUCUUACAGAGAACCACUUACAGCAUCAGUUCCACCUACUUUUAGAUAAGUGGCCAAAUAGGUUCUUAUAUUUAGACAGGAAUGGCUGUCACCGCCUGCAUUAGUCAUAAAUAAAAUUUCAGA